GCAGUCGUGGCCGAGUGGUUAAGGCGAUGGACUAGAAAUCCAUCGGGGUCUCCCCGCACAGGUUCGAAUCCUGUCGACUGCG
RNAcentral lists this transfer RNA (82 nucleotides) under Ixodes scapularis (black-legged tick). RNAcentral's name for it is "tRNA-Ser". It matches the Rfam family "tRNA". From Rfam's summary of the family: Transfer RNA (tRNA) molecules are approximately 80 nucleotides in length. The record is from RNAcentral. Lineage: Eukaryota; Metazoa; Arthropoda; Arachnida; Ixodida; Ixodidae.